Molecule: non-coding RNA, 173 nt
Filed under: Parapedobacter luteus
Lineage: Bacteria; Pseudomonadati; Bacteroidota; Sphingobacteriia; Sphingobacteriales; Sphingobacteriaceae
Source: RNAcentral
UCCACCGCGAGGUGGAAUCUGAAGGAAGCCGGCGGCAAACUCCCGGCCUGACGAACAGGAAGUGCAUAUAAGGCCAAAGUUGUUUGGAUGAGAUUGCAACACGAAUCGAAGUCCCAUACUGCACGGGGACAACAUGGUAAAUGCAACAGGUAUAUGGGAUGAAAGUUAUCGUU